Molecule: ribosomal RNA, 505 nt
Filed under: uncultured bacterium
Lineage: Bacteria
Description: partial 16S ribosomal RNA
Rfam family: Bacterial small subunit ribosomal RNA
Source: RNAcentral
GACGAACGCUGGCGGCGUGCCUAAUACAUGCAAGUAGAACGCACAGUUUAUACCGUAGCUUGCUACACCAUAGACUGUGAGUUGCGAACGGGUGAGUAACGCGUAGGUAACCUGCCUGGUAGCGGGGGAUAACUAUUGGAAACGAUAGCUAAUACCGCAUAAUAUUGAUUAUUGCAUGAUAAUUAAUUGAAAGGUGCAAUUGCACCACUACCAGAUGGACCUGCGUUGUAUUAGCUAGUAGGUGAGGUAACGGCUCACCUAGGCGACGAUACAUAGCCGACCUGAGAGGGUGAUCGGCCACACUGGGACUGAGAUACGGCCCAGACUCCUACGGGAGGCAGCAGUAGGGAAUCUUCGGCAAUGGACGAAAGUCUGACCGAGCAACGCCGCGUGAGUGAAGAAGGUUUUCGGAUCGUAAAGCUCUGUUGUAAGAGAAGAACGGGUGUGAGAGUGGAAAGUUCACACUGUGACGGUAUCUUACCAGAAAGGGACGGCUAACUACGUG